RNAcentral lists this ribosomal RNA (447 nucleotides) under uncultured bacterium. RNAcentral describes it as "bacterial SSU rRNA". It matches the Rfam family "Bacterial small subunit ribosomal RNA", at positions 355 to 825 of the family's 1533-position model. The record is from RNAcentral.
UGGGGAAUAUUGGACAAUGGGCGCAAGCCUGAUCCAGCCAUGCCGCGUGUGUGACGAAGGCCUUAGGGUUGUAAAACUCUUUCGUCGGGGACGAUAAUGACGGUACCCGAAGAAGAAGCUCCGGCUAACUUCGUGCCAGCAGCCGCGGUAAUACGAAGGGAGCUAGCGUUGUUCGGAAUCACUGGGCGUAAAGCGCACGUAGGCGGAUAGUUAAGUCAGGGGUGAAAUCCUGGGGCUCAACCCCAGAACUGCCUUUGAUACUGGCUGUCUCGAGGUCGAGAGAGGUUGGUGGAAUUCCUAGUGUAGAGGUGAAAUUCGUAGAUAUUAGGAAGAACACCAGUGGCGAAGGCGGCCAACUGGCUCGAUACUGACGCUGAGGUGCGAAAGCGUGGGGAGCAAACAGGAUUAGAUACCCAAGUAGUCCCUGAGCGGGCUGGCAAGGCGCAU